GACGAACGCUGGCGGCGUGCUUAACACAUGCAAGUCGAACGGACAGGCCCUGCUUUUGCGGGGGGCUCGAGUGGCGAACGGGUGAGUAACACGUGAGUAACCUGCCCUUGGCUUUGGGAUAACUUCAGGAAACUGGGGCUAAUACCGGAUAGGAGCUCCUGCUGCAUGGUGGGGGUUGGAAAGUUUCGGCGGUUGGGGAUGGACUCGCGGCUUAUCAGCUUGCUGGUGGGGUAGUGGCUUACCAAGGCUUUGCCGGGUAGCCGGCCUGCGGGGGGAACCCGCCACAUUGGGUCGGGACUACGGCACAGACCACUACGGGAGGCGACGGUGGGGUAGGUAGCACAAGGGGCUGAGGCCUGAUGCGGUACAGCCGCGUGGGGUAUGACGGGAUUCGGUUAGGAAUCUGCUUUCGUCUGACAGGAGGCGUUAGUGACGGUAAUGGGUAAAGAAGCACCGGCUAACUACGUG
Molecule: ribosomal RNA, 468 nt
Filed under: uncultured bacterium
Lineage: Bacteria
Description: partial 16S ribosomal RNA
Rfam family: Bacterial small subunit ribosomal RNA
Source: RNAcentral